GCGUAUAUUAAAGUUGUUGCAGUUAAAAAGCUCGUAGUUGAAAUUCCGGCGUCUUUGGACGUCUGCCUGGAAGAACUAGCGGUACCGUAAAAAGUUUUGCUUUUUUGAACAGGCUUUUACUGUGAACAAAUUAAAGUGCUCAAAGCAGGCUUUUGCUUGAAUAUUCUAGCAUGGAAUAAUAAAAUAUGGCUUUAUUCAUUUUAUUGGUUAUUGAAUGAAGUAAUGAUUAAUAGGAACAGUUGGGGGCAUUCGUAUUUAAUAGUCAGAGGUGAAAUUCUUAGAUUUAUUAAAGACGAACUAAAGCGAAAGCAUUUGCCAAGGAUGUUUUCAUUAAUCAAGAACGAAAGUUAGGGGAUCAAAGACGAUUAGAUACCGUCGUAGUCCUAACUAUAGACUAUACCGACUAGGGAUUGGUGAGGUAGACCCUCAUCAGGAUCUAAUGAGAAAUCAAAGUCUUUGGGUUCUUGGGGGAGUAUGGUCGCAAGGCUGAAACUUAAAGGAAUUGACGGAAGGGCACUACCAGGAGUGGAGUCUGCGGCUUAAUUUGAUUCAACACGGGAAAACUUACCAGGGCAAAAAACUGAUAGGAUUGACAGCUUGAUAGCGCUUUCUUGAUCCGGUAGCAAGUGGUGCAUGGCCGUUCUUAGUUGGUGGAGUGAUUUGUCAGGUUAAUUCCCUUAACGAACGAGACCUUAACCUGCUAAAUAGAAGUAGGUUUAAUUUAACUAUAUUCUUCUUAGAAGGACUACUGUUUCGAAAAGACAGUGGAAGUUUGAGGCAAUAACAGGUCCGUGAUGCCCUUA
This 803-nucleotide ribosomal RNA is filed under the name uncultured marine eukaryote. RNAcentral's name for it is "bacterial SSU rRNA". It matches the Rfam family "Eukaryotic small subunit ribosomal RNA", at positions 597 to 1475 of the family's 1831-position model. The record is from RNAcentral.